CUGUCACAACUGGUUAACUUUUAGGCGCGUAGCCGCGUAGGCCUCACAGCACAGAUGUUGAGACAAUCUGCAAUCUGACAUCAGCAUAUUGUUGCAAUUUUGCAAACGUGCAGAGUUUAUGGCGAGCAUUUGGCGAAUAGCCACAUAGGUCCGUUUACGCAACGUUUUUUUGUUUCUCCAUUGCCCUAAUAUAGUAAAUAUAGGUGGGUAUCCCGUUAAUCCUACACGUGGUUGAAGUGCAACAGUCAAUUUAAGGAAGUGUGAAAAUCGUGGAAGAAUUUCCCAUUAGUGAAAUAAGUUCCAGAUUCUUUCAUCUGCAUUGGAUGUUCGCUUUCUUCAUGCUGAGAAAGGAAUGAUUGCUAGAAGAUUUUGUACAGUGACUGUUGGAGUUGCCUUGUGCUUGUGAAGAAUCCAGUGCAGAAGGUCUAGUCAUAAGGUGAAUUAAAACAUAAUUUGUUUUUCCCGUUUACAGUGUUUUGUCGUAUUGUCAUGAAUUGCGUCAACUGGCAAAAAAAUGUUGCUGCUGAAGAAAAGGCUAUACAAUACAGUGAGAAGAAACUAGAAGAACAUAGAUGUUGUUGUCAAAAGGUUGGGAUUAUCAUCAUACAGCCCAAUUUUCACCAUUGUUCCAGCUAAAAAAAUAUCAUGUUCUGUAACAAAUCAUCACAACACGAGCAACAAGAUUUAACUCUUAAAUCUUUGACUAUGACUAACAUGGUAGAAAAAUAUUAGUUGUUCUUGUGAAAACACAUUGUUGUUGAACAAACUGGCAGACAGGAAGAAAUUUACAGUGGUUGAAAAAAUAUUAUUGUGGAGGGCCAAAAGAUGUGGCAAACACAAAUCCUAAUUUUAUGUCGAGUUGCUAGAGAUGCACUUUAGACCACCGUCAAAGUUGAGAGAGAAGACGACGAACCUGUAUUCCUUCUGUCGAUGGAAUCUAAACAAAAUGGAAACUGAGGAAGUUGUGCACAAAUCUUGAUUUGAAGAUGAUGAAGUCACAGUUACACAUAGAAUUUAAACCCAAAGAAGAAGAAGAAGAACUAUCUACUACCGAUAGCGAAAGAAGGUGGGAGCGAAAGUGAAACGGAUAAAGGAUUAAAAAAGGAGAUGCAUGGAAUACAUAUCAUCCAUUAUACCCAAGGUUUAACGCACCAAAUCUGGAAAGAAAUGGUGGCGAAUUUUGUCUCGACGGCCGAUGGAGUUGGCGCUUGUUGUUUGCAACUCGCCUUUUGCGAAGGCUUGGUAACAGUAGAAGCGGAUCAAGAGCUGGAUCCUGGCGAAUCGUCGCCCAUACUUAAGAUGGCCUGGGAUCUUGAAAUGAAAGAGAAAGAAGAAGAAACGGAAAGCUGAAUUCUGUUUUCGUCAUAACUGCGUGAAAAUAACGGUUUUACUCUUGACGAAUCGACACAAGAACCUCUGCCGUCAAAACGAAAUCUUGAAACAUCGUCACAUGUUUCUUGAACGCACAGUAUUAACGUUAUAACGUGUAGUUUUCCCACUUGAAAAGGGUCAGGAAAGUCACACAUUUCGUUCCGAUUACGCAAGAUAGGGAAAACGCCCUGAUUGUCAAAUAGAAAUAGGUUACACCAGAGACUUUGUGAUCGGGAGGGAAACCGUAACUCGUCGCCAUAAAGGAUCUCUAUGCUCAAGCCGAACAGAAGUUUUACGCCCAACGUACUACCCAUCAGCUGAAGAACACCAAUUAUACACCUUUCUAUGGCAUAUUUGCAUAUGAAAUGGAAUCGUGGAUGCUGAUGAUAAACUAUCAUAAACUCCUGGUGAAAGUUGGUUUUACCUAACUGGAAAGAGACUCCAGACUUCGCCAGUGUAGAAAUAGCUGGAUUCCUCAAGUUUAGCAUCAACUCCACAAUUUGGAAUGAUGGUCAUCUCCCUUAUAAUUUUACUUUUACGAACACUAGUGUUCGUGAGAAAAUGCCACUCCGCAGCACCACCGUGGAAGAUUAUCCGACCAAGGCAGCUCUACAGAAUACAGUUCGAAGAACCGGUUGACGAAAAUGGUGGCCCUAGUUUUGCAACGGAUUCAUCGUGGAAUGAAUGAUUAGAAGAACUCCUGCGUUUACCAGGACCUGGUCUGAAAGGUAUAUAAUUUCUAACUUUAUUUUUCAUCUCUAUUCUAUAAAUUAACCGUAGAUUGAAAAUAAUCGAUAUCGAAUUGACCUGUGAUGAACUCGCCCUAAAAAAAUUUGCGCAAAGUAAACCCUCUUAUACAGAAACAAGUUUAGAUUUUGUUAAGGUGAAAAUCCUGAUUGAAAAUCAUUAGCACAUCUAAGGAGGUGAAGUAGUUUUCCGCGACAGGUGCCGUGAAUUUCCCCCGUUUGUCAUUUAUUGGCAUCUUCCAGUUGGGAAGUUAAGUGUCGAAGUGACUCACAAUAAUACGCCCGUUUCAUUUAAUCCUAUCGAAGGGAAGGGAACUCUAACUCAAACACAGAUAACCUGCGCAGUCACAGGCAGGAAAAUAAUUCUUUUCUUCAGAAAAUUGUAAGUUUUUUUUUGUCUGAACCUUCCAUACCCCCAAUCUCAUCAGAUUUAUUCGUAUGUGAUGAUGUGAUGUGUAUCUGAUUAUUCAUUUCUCGUGAGUCGUGAACUCGUGAUGUUGAGCUUCGGAAACAGAGCUCGGAAUCGCCGAUUCGGAAAUCAAUUCAUCCGUUCCGUUCCGUACAGUAAAAUGUGGUAAUCGUGAGGGAAUCUUUUGGCUGUCGGUAGGUGGCUAAAAUGGAUUGUCCCCCAUCCACCAGGUGACGCGAGUGUCUUCGUGAAGACGAAAUAUUUGCCAUAUGUUUCCGAGACGCUGACUGAAAGUGUAUUUCAAAUAGUGUCGAUCUACAUUUUCAGCCAUGAAAUGCAAUCUGUCGUACAAUUUCACUUGGCCAAAUAAUGUGACCACUUGGGUCGAAACCAUGUCGAAACUGCUGUACAUUUUGCCGAAAUUUCGGCCAUUGUUUUUAGCUGUACCCUAUUCGGCUCUACGUCUCAUUUCGUGCAGAAACACUUCAGAGCUAGUUGAUGUUUUGGUCAGAGACAGAGAUCCCUUUGCUCAACUGUUGCAGAAAUUGAGAACACAACAAAGUCUGAGCUUCAUGGCUGUCAUAUCAUUAACAUGGUUUUGUUGCAGCCAGCUGGUGAAAGGUAUGAUGGAGUUAAGUUGAGCUGCAGCUGCUGCAUCCAGUUUAUCGAGCUGGUGUUAUCCCAAAGUGUCCCAAGACUUUGAAUUGGUAAUUAGAUUGAUGUUAUUGGUUGUUGUAACUUGGGAAGUCUUGUGUUUUCUUUUUUUUUUUUUUUUUUUUUAAAUUUUGUAUUCAACUGACAAGUUUAACUUGAUGUGGUGUAGAAAAUUAGGGUUAAUAUUUCCUCCUUCCAAAUAAUUGUUUCUGUUCAAAGAUAGCCACAUUGUUGGUCUGCUUCCAACAAUUUUUUUUUUCAAUUUUCUUCCAAUCAAACAAGAACCAAAAUUCCCACUUAGUAUUACCAAAUUUUUAUAACAUAUUGGAAGUAGAUGUACAAAAUUCUUUCCUGGUUUCUUUUUCAAUUUCAAUUUAUUAAUUAAUUUUAAAUUAAGUAAAUGUUAUUAUCGGCACCCUUUCUUCACAGUUCAAAAUGUUAUUGGUUUAUUAGUUUUCUUUUGCUUUGUAGUAGUUCAUGGUCGGUUUGAUGUUUAUGGUGUUGCUGUUUGGUGUACAGUGGUUUUGCAGCCCCUUUCCAAUUGAGAGAUGCUCUGAAAUGGAGCUUGUGUAGACUUGCAGUUCAACAUCACACUUAAAUGUCUCAUUUGUCUAUGUUGGUGUCCAUGCACUAUAUGCAGUGUUGAACUGUUGGGUAAAAUAGUCAAUGUUGCCUAAUGGUGAUGGCUGUGGCCGGUCUUAUUUUAUCGGUUGCAUUUUGUCGAUAUAUCGUCUCUUGGUACCGGCGUUGAGUUUCAUCGUUUGCUGCCGUUCCAUAGACUUGAUCCAUUGGUAAAACUGAAGAGAGGUUGCUGAAAUUCAAGACUCGUCAAUAAUUUAUGAAGAUGUAGAAAAAUUACAAGUGCAUAUCUGAGCUCCCUUCUUCAGUGGCCCCGUUUCCCUAAAUAACCACUAACCAACGCCCGCCGGUGGUCACUCACUCGCUGCGACAACCAGGAGGAAGGGAGAUGUUUGGUCGAACGGGGACUUGCAAGGCGCAUGAUUCGAUGAAAUCUGUUGGAGGGUCAUGAAUCUAAGCCGGAAGCCUACUAUGAUACACUGUUCUCAUAAUAACUGCUCCUCAGCUCUCUUCGCUCUUUUUCCGGUUUCUCCUAACCAAUGUCCGGGUAAUCUCCCUGGUCGAGUCAGUCGGGCAGUGUCUCCCCCUGCUUGACUGGCAGCAGAUUGACCCGGACGUUCUGUUUAAUAAACUUUUAAAAUUAUUUUAUGUGUUUGUUAAUAAAUAAAUAUUUCAUUAAAACGAA
Long non-coding RNA from Daphnia pulex (common water flea), 4444 nucleotides. RefSeq lists it as uncharacterized. The record is from RefSeq and is a predicted model, not a curated record. Lineage: Eukaryota; Metazoa; Arthropoda; Branchiopoda; Diplostraca; Daphniidae. The transcript has 12 exons.